RNAcentral lists this ribosomal RNA (253 nucleotides) under uncultured bacterium. RNAcentral describes it as "partial 16S ribosomal RNA". It matches the Rfam family "Bacterial small subunit ribosomal RNA", at positions 524 to 776 of the family's 1533-position model. The record is from RNAcentral.
UACGAGAGGCCCAAACGUUAUUCGGAAUUACUGGGCGUAAAGCGCACGUAGGUGGCGACGUAAGUCGGGUGUGAAAGCCCCGGGCUCAACCUGGGAAUUGCAUUCGAGACUGCAUUGCUGGAGUACGGAAGAGGAAGGCGGAAUUCCCGGUGUAGCGGUGAAAUGCGUAGAUAUCGGGAGGAACAUCAGUGGCGAAGGCGGCCUUCUGGUCCAGUACUGACACUCAAGUGCGAAAGCGUGGGGAGCAAACAGG